This 1070-nucleotide long non-coding RNA is filed under the name Phasianus colchicus (ring-necked pheasant). RNAcentral's name for it is "lncRNA (ENSPCLG00000007123.1)". The record is from RNAcentral. Lineage: Eukaryota; Metazoa; Chordata; Aves; Galliformes; Phasianidae.
AUGCCAGCCAGAGCAUCACUAAAAAGAAGUGAAACAAAGAAAUUGCAUUUGAUGGCCAUUGUGGUUACAUGGAGCUACCCAGGGCUGGACAGAGCAUGGAUUCCACCAGCACACUCCGCCUGUGGCUGUUCUGCCUGCUGCUCAGUGCUGCAGUCCCAAAACCCACCUGUGAUCCCAGUGCCUGCCCAGUCUGCCCCGAGCCAGGACCUGGGGGCUGCUGCCCGUCAUGCAUGCCAGCCUGUGCCUGCCCACCCUACCUGCAGGAUGACUGCGAGAUGCAAGGCUUCAGUGACAGACACGUCCCCACCGGCAGGUCCUUCUACAUCGACUUCGCCCGCAAGCUGUGCACUUGCCAGCCCAGUGGGGACAUCACCUGCAGCUCGCGCUGUGACCCCGUGCCUGCUUCCUGCCAGGCUGUGGGCAGCCCAGUGGCCGAUGGCUGUCCCCGCUGUGUCUGCUAUGAUGAGGAGGAGGUGGCGGUGCUCGCUGGCUCCGUGGUGCCCCGAGGUGGCCAGCUCUGCACCUGCCCUCCCCAGGGCGGCCAACUGCAGUGCAGUGAUGGGGGUGAGGCAUGAGCUGCUCCAAGGGCAGUGGGACUGGAGGCUUGCAGGGAGCUUCUGCUCCUUCAGGCCUCUUCACUGGAAUGCAUUCGAGGCUUCAAACUGUCCCAUCGUGCAGGGAGAUGCUGUGCUGUUGCAUCUAAGCAUCUUCUUGGUGGUGGGCAGAGAGGUUGGGUUGGUUGCUGAUGGCACUGCAAUGAACCAAACUGCAGUUAUUUAUUUAUUUGUGAGAUGAUUGUGCUUUUGUGCGUCUAUGUUUAUAUAGUGUGUGGAUAAGUGUGUCUUAAAUAAGUCAACAGAUUAGAGACAAGCUCUCCCCUUCCUGCUGCUGGAAACAGUAGGAUGUGCGCUCUGAAUGCUCUGAAGUGUGUGUUGUAUGUAUUUAUAUCCUCAUAUAUAUAUGCAGGGAGACUGUAAUCAAGCACAGCUCCAUCAGGCUGAUGUUAGCAAAUGUCAGCUAUAUUCAUGGGGUUGAAUAAAAUCAGUGUUACCAAUGAAUGUGUGAAAUCU